GUGUGCAGACCCUCCACACAUCCAAGCUGCAUUCUGCAUGGAUCUAUCUAAAUGCACAUCUUCUUCUGGGAUCCUCUUCUCCUGGUCCUCCUUCCUCAGGGAGGGGGGGGCAAAGAUGAAGCCCCCCUUUCCGGACGUCCUGACUCCUCCUAGCCGCAGCUUGAAUUGUGAAGCGACUGAACACCUCGAUGUCCCUGACUGGGACUUGAACCUGCGCUCUCCUGCUUCAAGGACAGAAACACUCCCACUGUGCUAAUCUGUCUACAGCAGAACUGUGUUGCUUUGUUCCUUUGAGCCGAUGACUGUCAAGGAGCGGCAAAAACCGAAAACAACAAAACUGAGACGGGGAAUUGAACCAGCGCUUCUCUGCUUUGGAGAUCAAGUCAGUUCCAUUGCACUAUUCUGUACAUCAGUCAGCACUUUGUCGAUCACCAUUUUUCCUCCAUCUGGUGCUUUCUGGGAUUUGAACCAGCACCUUCUUGCUCUACUGUCUCCUUUCAUCUCCAUCAGUGGAACCUUGAAGCUGAAGUUUGAUUGACAGUUGACGACCUCACAUCACCAGUUGCUGCUGCUUCACCGGAAGUGUUUUAAUUAUCAGCCACCGUUGUCAUUAUUUGCUUUUCUCUGCUCUCCUCCGUUUUGGAAGGUUAUGUCUGACCUCAUCUUGGAAACUUGGGUAUCAGAAUUAUUUUCUAGUUUUCCAUUGGAAAUUACGACAAACGGGAUAGUUUUGUGCAAUCUUCACCUCGGAUUGAUUAGUAUUUUACGUAAAUCGCGCAGAAAGGCAGGAGAAGAAUACAACAUCCUCCAAACUUCCCUUGUGACUGAUGUUUCAAUUCUUCAUCUGUUUUCAGCUCCUGAUGGAUAAAGUCUCUUUGGCAUAAAGUUCUCUUGUUGUCGCGUUGAUCAACGUGACAAAAUGCGCUCGUUUUUUUUUCUUUUUCCAGACGUUAUUGAAACAAAAUGCGUAAAUGUACACUGUGCCAGGCGUAGAUGAAAUGAUGUUGACCAAUCGUUGCUAAGAGUGGCGUAACGUCAUCAUUUGGGUUGCCAGAUUGGUUCAGGUGUGUGGAAGGGGGCGAUCAUUAAAGUGCAGCCAACUUUCUUUUGCACAACAUUCAGAGCGCACGUUGGUACGGACGCGCUGUGAAAUGGGUUGCCAGAUUUGGCUCUUAUUUUUUUCGCCACUUCGGGGCCCUGGUGGUGGCGGGGGCCCUACGCGGCUGCGUAUUUCGUGUAUAGGGAGCCAUGGGUUAAAGUUAAACUCAGUUAACUGGAAUCUAGAUUUUCUUUGCUGACUAAAGUUCAAAUAGUCUAAAUAGGUUUUUUAUUAUACAAAAUGAAAGAAAAAAACUGAUUUAAUUUAUCAUUAGGAAAUCUAAAAAAAGGAGGCAGAUUUUUCUUUAACAUAUUCAAAGUCAGGCUAAGUUUAGACUAGAACUUGGUUAAAAAUGGAAGUACAUUUCUUCAUUUUUAUUUGAAUAACAUGACCUUUUUUGUAAUUUAUAAACUUAAAUUUUGUAAAUUUUCAUUCGGAGACAAAAUUAAUUAAAAAAUACAAUUCAGGAGGUCUGAAUUUCAUUCAAAUGAAUAAAAGUUUAACAAAUGUUUUCUCUCUCUUUUUUUUUAAAUAACUCAGAAGUCACUUUUUUCAAAAGUACUUUUAUUUUGAAAAACUGAUCAUUGAGUCUUUCAGACGGCUUGGUACGCUCCUUUAUUCCUAGUAGCAGUAAAUCUAGAUCAACGCUGAGGGUGAAGGUGGGAAUGAAGACCUGGAGCUUCAGAGCCGGACCAGAGGAACCAUGGACCGUCACGACAAACCCUUCCUCAAAGACGAGGGCGAGCCGAUCGACGCCGAGGUUUGCCUCAUUUCCAGAAAACCGAGGACUCUUAUGGUUUCACAUUUUACGGAUUGUCCUCUUUGCUUUGGAUAUUUUCAAAAUAAAUGCAUCCCAGCUGUUGCUUUUCUUGUGAAACGCCGCCGACAGGACCGUCUCAGAUUAGAAACAAGCUUUAUUUAUUCAAUUUCUUUCAUGUUUUGAAGGUAAAGAGGAGCAAGAUCCACCAGUGGACACGGAUGACAGUAAAUCGCUGUAAUCAUCAGGCAAUCUACAACAGAACUACAAUCUGGACCAGAACCAUUGGAGACGUUUCCUCUCUUUGCAAAGUGGUGAGAGAUGAAGAGGCCUCCGCGACUCUUCGUCAGUAAGGUCACUUGAUAAAGAGAUUGUGAGGAUGGCCGCCACCUCCAGAGUGUCGUCAGCAUGCGUGAAAACCCAGUUUGAAACAGCCGGGUGGACGGCCGGGGUUCGCCCCCGCCCCCCAGGGAGAGAGAAAAAAAAAAA
This is a non-coding RNA of Oryzias latipes (Japanese medaka), 2345 nucleotides long. The record is from RefSeq and is a predicted model, not a curated record. Lineage: Eukaryota; Metazoa; Chordata; Actinopteri; Beloniformes; Adrianichthyidae.